This 166-nucleotide non-coding RNA is filed under the name Nitrospirota bacterium. RNAcentral's name for it is "6S RNA". It matches the Rfam family "6S / SsrS RNA". Rfam says of the family: E. coli 6S RNA was the first non coding RNA to be sequenced, but its function was unknown until recently. The record is from RNAcentral. Lineage: Bacteria; Pseudomonadati; Nitrospirota.
UGCGAUACUCUGGACUGAGUAAAACCAGAGGAUCAAGCAACUGGGUAAGGGAGCGGGAGUUGGAUAUGGUGAGCAAGCCUUCACUGUUAGAAGGACGCCUGAAAUAUCCAUCGAAGCACCCACUUAGGAAAAGAGCUUAUUGGUUUCCCGGAUCUGGGGUAUCGCA